Molecule: long non-coding RNA, 722 nt
Organism: Mauremys reevesii (Reeves's turtle)
Lineage: Eukaryota; Metazoa; Chordata; Testudines; Geoemydidae
Exons: 2
Source: RefSeq, a predicted model, not a curated record
GGUCCCCCCCCCCUUCACUCCUUGCAGUGUACCCAGCCAUUGGCCGUAGGGAGCGGCCAUCUUGCUAUGCCAGAUCCCUGACAAAAGGGAUUGGACUCAAAGGGCGGUUGAACAUAGUGACUGAGGUGUGGGACUGCUGAGCACCGACCCCCGGAAGGGGGCGCAGAUGGACUAAGGGGCACUGCCGGAGGGCAGUGGCCUCGAAGAGGACGCCGCCAAGCAUGCAGCAACGCGGGUCCAAAGACAAUGACAGAGGAGAGAACAACGGACGGGACACCACCAGGAGGAGGAGCUCCACUGGAAAGAUCUAAUUCCCAGAGACACCAGCAGGAGGCGCCGCUGGGGCUCACCUCAGGCAGCUCCAGGAACAGCAAUAGCCUCUGCCCUGGCUCCAGUGAAGCCACCAACCACCUCUGAAGCCUCAGCAGAAGUUAGCAGCAGCUCCACACCAGCCAUCUUACUCCUCUCCCAAAAUGUAGACCACCACCUGCACUCCCUGUGAGAAGAAGUCUCUCACUCUUUCCCCAAGGCAUCAUGGGAGUUGUGGUCUCUAGGCUGGAUUGCAGCACACGGGAUCUUCCCAACUGGAACACUCCCAAUUAAGUUCAAAGGCCCCAUUACUAAAGGGUGCCUAUACUUAAAAUGUCUGUGAAUCCUGAAAGUUUCUUGAAUUUUGUGCAAGGAUUAUCAUUCAUCUGAAAAAUUAUAACAGUAAUGCACGA